Molecule: ribosomal RNA, 1534 nt
Filed under: Escherichia coli
Lineage: Bacteria; Pseudomonadati; Pseudomonadota; Gammaproteobacteria; Enterobacterales; Enterobacteriaceae
Description: partial 23S ribosomal RNA
Rfam family: Bacterial large subunit ribosomal RNA
Source: RNAcentral
GGUUAAGCGACUAAGCGUACACGGUGGAUGCCCUGGCAGUCAGAGGCGAUGAAGGACGUGCUAAUCUGCGAUAAGCGUCGGUAAGGUGAUAUGAACCGUUAUAACCGGCGAUUUCCGAAUGGGGAAACCCAGUGUGAUUCGUCACACUAUCAUUAACUGAAUCCAUAGGUUAAUGAGGCGAACCGGGGGAACUGAAACAUCUAAGUACCCCGAGGAAAAGAAAUCAACCGAGAUUCCCCCAGUAGCGGCGAGCGAACGGGGAGCAGCCCAGAGCCUGAAUCAGUGUGUGUGUUAGUGGAAGCGUCUGGAAAGGCGCGCGAUACAGGGUGACAGCCCCGUACACAAAAAUGCACAUGCUGUGAGCUCGAUGAGUAGGGCGGGACACGUGGUAUCCUGUCUGAAUAUGGGGGGACCAUCCUCCAAGGCUAAAUACUCCUGACUGACCGAUAGUGAACCAGUACCGUGAGGGAAAGGCGAAAAGAACCCCGGCGAGGGGAGUGAAAAAGAACCUGAAACCGUGUACGUACAAGCAGUGGGAGCACGCUUAGGCGUGUGACUGCGUACCUUUUGUAUAAUGGGUCAGCGACUUAUAUUCUGUAGCAAGGUUAACCGAAUAGGGGAGCCGAAGGGAAACCGAGUCUUAACUGGGCGUUAAGUUGCAGGGUAUAGACCCGAAACCCGGUGAUCUAGCCAUGGGCAGGUUGAAGGUUGGGUAACACUAACUGGAGGACCGAACCGACUAAUGUUGAAAAAUUAGCGGAUGACUUGUGGCUGGGGGUGAAAGGCCAAUCAAACCGGGAGAUAGCUGGUUCUCCCCGAAAGCUAUUUAGGUAGCGCCUCGUGAAUUCAUCUCCGGGGGUAGAGCACUGUUUCGGCAAGGGGGUCAUCCCGACUUACCAACCCGAUGCAAACUGCGAAUACCGGAGAAUGUUAUCACGGGAGACACACGGCGGGUGCUAACGUCCGUCGUGAAGAGGGAAACAACCCAGACCGCCAGCUAAGGUCCCAAAGUCAUGGUUAAGUGGGAAACGAUGUGGGAAGGCCCAGACAGCCAGGAUGUUGGCUUAGAAGCAGCCAUCAUUUAAAGAAAGCGUAAUAGCUCACUGGUCGAGUCGGCCUGCGCGGAAGAUGUAACGGGGCUAAACCAUGCACCGAAGCUGCGGCAGCGACGCUGAUGCGUUGUUGGGUAGGGGAGCGUUCUGUAAGCCUGCGAAGGUGUGCUGUGAGGCAUGCUGGAGGUAUCAGAAGUGCGAAUGCUGACAUAAGUAACGAUAAAGCGGGUGAAAAGCCCGCUCGCCGGAAGACCAAGGGUUCCUGUCCAACGUUAAUCGGGGCAGGGUGAGUCGACCCCUAAGGCGAGGCCGAAAGGCGUAGUCGAUGGGAAACAGGUUAAUAUUCCUGUACUUGGUGUUACUGCGAAGGGGGGACGGAGAAGGCUAUGUUGGCCGGGCGACGGUUGUCCCGGUUUAAGCGUGUAGGCUGGUUUUCCAGGCAAAUCCGGAAAAUCAAGGCUGAGGCGUGAUGACGAGGCACU